CACAAGAGAAGGACCUUCACAGCACUGGCACAGGAAGACGCCAUCAUCAUCAUCACCAGAAAAACCUCAUCAGAAAACCAUUUCCCCCUCAUCCUCAACCCUCAACAAUCUUAAAAUUGCUACACACAACACUGGAACACACUGUGCUGUCACGCUUCACGCUAAGAAACCCAUUAGAGGGAGAGCCGGGGAGGGAACCAAUCUUCACUGCUCCUACCGGUUGCUGUCAGCGGCGGCGACAUCCGAAUCCUCUGACGACAGCAGUUUCGAGUUCGAGAAGAAAAAAAGGGUUCGUGUGAUAUCUUCGGAGAAGGUCGGUGUCGCCGGUAAUGGUGUGACGACGAACCUCUACGGCCACGUAUGGUAGCGGUUCGGUGGCUGGCCCUGGUGGCGGUGGAGGGUGCGGCGCGCAAAGAGGAGAAAGCUUCCUCGGGCUGACGUUUCCCUCGUUGGCAAUGUUGCCGGUGUGGCCUUAGCCAGCCAUGGAGGAGGCGAGUGGGGACGACCAUCUUGGAAGCUAGAACGGCCUUCGGUGGCCGGCGGUGGAAAUGGCCUCUCUCGGUUUUCGCUCAGAUGGGAUUGGGUCUCCUUGUGUUGAAUGCACAGAAUGGGGACAAUCUGAUAGAACCCCAAUUUUUGAAAUUAGGUUAAGAGGCUUUGGGCUUGUCUGGUGGGCCGGAUCCUCUUUCUGGCGACACACAAAUCAUAUUCGCACCCCCUGCAGACAAAGGAAGAAAAAGGGCUUUGGGCCUGGCUAUUGGGCGCGCCCUCUCCUCCUGUCACCACACACAACUCUGUUCGCACCCCACCUCUUUCUGCAAACAAAGAGGCCUUAAGCCUGACCAGCGAAUAUCCAGUGGCACCCCCCAACUUUACAGCUGCACCCCUGUCUUUGGGCCUGGACAGGUUAUUUCGAGCUGCACCCCCAUUUUGGCCAUACACCCCUAACAGGCUACAAGACCAGAAGCUUCAGUAUUUUAUUCAGC
RNAcentral lists this long non-coding RNA (986 nucleotides) under Vigna radiata. RNAcentral describes it as "long non-coding RNA (VRAD_LNC006060)". The record is from RNAcentral. Lineage: Eukaryota; Viridiplantae; Streptophyta; Magnoliopsida; Fabales; Fabaceae.